Molecule: ribosomal RNA, 492 nt
Filed under: uncultured bacterium
Lineage: Bacteria
Description: partial 16S ribosomal RNA
Rfam family: Bacterial small subunit ribosomal RNA
Source: RNAcentral
AGUGAACGCUGGCGGUAGGCCUAACACAUGCAAGUCGAACGGCAGCACAGUAAGGGCUUGCUCUUACGGGUGGCGAGUGGCGGACGGGUGAGGAAUACAUCGGAAUCUACUUUUUCGUGGGGGAUAACGUAGGGAAACUUACGCUAAUACCGCAUACGACCUACGGGUGAAAGCAGGGGAUCUUCGGACCUUGCGCGAUUGAAUGAGCCGAUGUCGGAUUAGCUAGUUGGCGGGGUAAAGGCCCACCAAGGCGACGAUCCGUAGCUGGUCUGAGAGGAUGAUCAGCCACACUGGAACUGAGACACGGUCCAGACUCCUACGGGAGGCAGCAGUGGGGAAUAUUGGACAAUGGGCGCAAGCCUGAUCCAGCCAUACCGCGUGGAUGAAGAAGGCCUUCGGGUUGUAAAGCCCUUUUGUUGGGAAAGAAAAGCAGCAGGUUAAUACCCCGCUGUUCUGACGGUACCCAAAGAAUAAGCACCGGCUAACUUCGUG